UAUAAAAAAUAAAUUAUACAUAUUAUUCGUAUAUGCAUAUAUAUAUAUGUAUAUGUAUAUACAUCCAUACUUUAACGUUAUUGCUUAAAAUUUGAAAGUUAUUGGAUAAACAUAUAACUAUUUUAAUAUAUAGAGGGAAAAUGAAUUUUGUUUUGUUUUUAUCUAGCAUCUUAUUGUCCCUGUAUCCCGCUUUUGCCCAAACAGCGGAAGUAUAUGAUGAAAAUCAGAAGAGUGUUCAAUUUCAUAUUAUUUUAUGGAUAGUAGUAACAUUGAUCAUUGCAUUAAUUUUGGGCACCUAUGCCAUAUAUCAAGUAGCUUUUAAAUA
Long non-coding RNA from Piliocolobus tephrosceles (Ugandan red Colobus), 325 nucleotides. RefSeq lists it as uncharacterized. The record is from RefSeq and is a predicted model, not a curated record. The transcript is spliced from 3 exons. NCBI's taxonomy places the organism in Eukaryota, Metazoa, Chordata, Mammalia, Primates, Cercopithecidae.